AGCAGCGUGGCUCAGUGGAAAGAGCCCGGGCUUGGGAGUCAGAGGUCAUGGGUUCGAACCCCAGCUCUGCCA
RNAcentral lists this transfer RNA (72 nucleotides) under Ornithorhynchus anatinus (platypus). It matches the Rfam family "tRNA". From Rfam's summary of the family: Transfer RNA (tRNA) molecules are approximately 80 nucleotides in length. Their secondary structure includes four short double-helical elements and three loops (D, anti-codon, and T loops). The record is from Rfam by way of RNAcentral. Lineage: Eukaryota; Metazoa; Chordata; Mammalia; Monotremata; Ornithorhynchidae.